GGUGCUAAUACCGUAUAACACUAUUUUCCGCAUGGAAGAAAGUUGAAAGGCGCUUUUGCGUCACUGAUGGAUGGACCCGCGGUGCAUUAGCUAGUUGGUGAGGUAACGGCUCACCAAGGCCACGAUGCAUAGCCGACCUGAGAGGGUGAUCGGCCACACUGGGACUGAGACACGGCCCAGACUCCUACGGGAGGCAGCAGUGGGGAAUCUUCGGCAAUGGACGAAAGUCUGACCGAGCAACGCCGCGUGAGUGAAGAAGGUUUUCGGAUCGUAAAACUCCGUUGUUAGAGAAGAACAAGGAUGAGAGUAGAACGUUCAUCCCUUGACGGUAUCUAACCAGAAAGCCACGGCUAACUACGUGCCAGCAGCCGCGGUAAUACGUAGGUGGCAAGCGUUGUCCGGAUUUAUUGGGCGUAAAGCGAGCGCAGGCGGUUUCUUAAGUCUGAUGUGAAAGCCCCCGGCUCAACCGGGGAGGGUCAUUGGAAACUGGGAGACUUGAGUGCAGAAGAGGAGAGUGGAAUUCCAUGUGUAGCGGUGAAAUGCGUAGAUAUAUGGAGGAACACCAGUGGCGAAGGCGGCUCUCUGGUCUGUAACUGACGCUGAGGCUCGAAAGCGUGGGGAGCGAACAGGAUUAGAUACCCUGGUAGUCCACGCCGUAAACGA
RNAcentral lists this ribosomal RNA (663 nucleotides) under uncultured bacterium. RNAcentral's name for it is "bacterial SSU rRNA". It matches the Rfam family "Bacterial small subunit ribosomal RNA", at positions 159 to 809 of the family's 1533-position model. The record is from RNAcentral.